RNAcentral lists this long non-coding RNA (280 nucleotides) under Capsicum annuum. RNAcentral's name for it is "long non-coding RNA (CANN_LNC005518)". The record is from RNAcentral. Lineage: Eukaryota; Viridiplantae; Streptophyta; Magnoliopsida; Solanales; Solanaceae.
UUCUUCAACAAAUCAACAAAAUAUACUAAUUGAAACACAAUUUCUCAAUUAAAGGUGGUACUUAAGGCGUUGAAUUGGAUUAAAAUACUGACUAAGGUAUUUUAAUUGAAAUUGGGGUUAUUCAAAGGAAAAAAAAUUGAAAACAACUGAUCGAUUGUGUGAAAAUAUGGAGGGUGAUAAUCUAUAUUCAAUCAUGAUACAACAUGGAUGUUAAUGAAAUAUCACGGGUAUUUUUUUAUGUAUUCAAUCAUGAUCUCUCAAAUAAUUUUGGUAUAUACGG